UACGAAGGGGCUAGCGUUGCUCGGAAUUACUGGGCGUAAAGCGCACGUAGGCGGCUUCUUAAGUCGGUGGUGAAAUCCUGGAGCUCAACUCCAGAACUGCCUUCGAUACUGGGAGCUCGAGUCCGGGAGAGGUGAGUGGAACGUGCGAGUGUAGAGGUGAAAUUCGUAGAUAUUCGACAAGAACACCAGUGGCGAAGGCGGCUCACUGGCCCGGUACUGACGCUGAGGUGCGAAAGCGUGGGGAGCAAACAGG
RNAcentral lists this ribosomal RNA (253 nucleotides) under uncultured bacterium. RNAcentral describes it as "partial 16S ribosomal RNA". It matches the Rfam family "Bacterial small subunit ribosomal RNA", at positions 524 to 776 of the family's 1533-position model. The record is from RNAcentral.